Molecule: long non-coding RNA, 300 nt
Filed under: Pan troglodytes (chimpanzee)
Lineage: Eukaryota; Metazoa; Chordata; Mammalia; Primates; Hominidae
Description: long non-coding RNA NONPTRT000481
Source: RNAcentral
GGAGGAGCCCCCCAGCAGCGAGCGGCGAGCAACUGACCGCGGCCUUCUGACCAGGACCGGAGCAGGGCCCCAAGCCCCCGGGCCUGGUGGGGGACGCGCUUCUUCCCACACUGUGAGCCUCAGCAGCUCCAGCCAGCGGACCCGACGGCUGAGAGGAGCCCCAGAACCAGGACUGGGGGAUUUGGAGCUGGGCAGAGACUUAACCCCCACAGCACCGGGAAGCAGCCAACUCCCCUCGCCUCCUUCCCCCUUCGUGGCUUGCGGUCUCUCUUCCCCGCCUCGGCCCCCAGGAAGUGUGAG